CGCUCGCUUAAUAUCCACACUAAAAUCUAAAAGCCGAUCUUAGUGUCCAUCGGAAAGCCUUAUAAGCUUAUAGAUUUUUGCAAAUAUUUAAUAACUGGUUUACUUAAAAAUGAAAUCUCAAUUUCAGAGAUUUUCUACCAGAAAUAGAGCUAAAUGUUACUAUAUGUAUAUACUGUUACCACACACUUCGACUAGUCCUAACAAAUUCUCUAGAACAGUGACGCCAACGAUGAACAACAAUCCCUGAGUAGCAAUUCUUUAAAAUCACCGGUAAUUGUACAUGAGCAUGGGAUUCAUUUGAUAAAUUGUCAUAGGCAUAUAAAAUGUACUCACCUCUGAGGCGAAGAAUAUGUAUGUGUCCGAUCUUGCUUGCACUGCCAUGGUCUAUUUAUAAACACAAUGAGUCGAAAAUACGGAGAACGAACGAUUUGACUGAAAAUGUGAAACAUCUUAGGUAUGGGAGGAUGUUUCGGAAACAUUUAUAUUGAUUCUGAACCAAUGUAGAAACAUAAUUACAAAUUUUGUAUGUACUUACUUAACUAAACAGUACAAUUUCUAAAAGUA
This is a long non-coding RNA of Dendroctonus ponderosae (mountain pine beetle), 564 nucleotides long. RefSeq lists it as uncharacterized. NCBI's taxonomy places the organism in Eukaryota, Metazoa, Arthropoda, Insecta, Coleoptera, Curculionidae. The transcript is spliced from 2 exons. The record is from RefSeq and is a predicted model, not a curated record.